RNAcentral lists this ribosomal RNA (588 nucleotides) under uncultured bacterium. RNAcentral describes it as "bacterial SSU rRNA". It matches the Rfam family "Bacterial small subunit ribosomal RNA", at positions 338 to 916 of the family's 1533-position model. The record is from RNAcentral.
CCUACGGGAGGCAGCAGUCGAGAAGCUUCAGCAAUGGGCGAAAGCCUGACCGAGCGACGCCGCGUGAGCGAUGAAGGCCCUAGUGGUUGUAAAGCUCUGUCAGAUUGGGAAUAAAUGCCGGGGGCGAAUAACCCCCGGAGCUGAAGGUACCAUCAGAGGAAGCACCGGCUAACUCCGUGCCAGCAGCCGCGGUAAUACGGAGGGUGCGAGCGUUGUUCGGAUUCACUGGGUAUAAAGGGUGUGUAGGCGGUCCUGCAAGUCAGAGGUGAAAGCCGUCGGCUUAACCGGCGAACUGCCUUUGAAACUGUGGGACUUGAGUCCGGGAGAGGAAGGUGGAAUUCCUGGUGUAGCGGUGAAAUGCGUAAAUAUCAGGAGGAACACCGGUGGCGAAGGCGGCCUUCUGGCCCGGUACUGACGCUGAGGCACGAAAGCCAGGGGAGCAAACGGGAUUAGAUACCCCGGUAGUCCUGGCCGUAAACGAUGGGCACUAGGUGUUGGAGGAGUCUACCCCUUCAGUGCCGCAGCUAAUGCAUUAAGUGCCCACCUGGGGAGUACGGUCGCAAGGCUGAAACUUAAAGGAAUUGACGG